AUUAAAAACCAAUGCCCUUCGGGGCUCUCUGGUGAUUCAUAAUAACUUCUCGAAUCGCACGGCCUUGUGCCGGCGAUGGUUCAUUCAAAUUUCUGCCCUAUCAACUUUCGACGGCUGGGUCUUGGCCAGCCGUGGUGACAACGGGUAACGGAGGGUUAGGGCUCGACCCCGGAGAAGGAGCCUGAGAAACGGCUACUACAUCCAAGGAAGGCAGCAGGCGCGCAAAUUACCCAAUCCCGACACGGGGAGGUAGUGACAAUAAAUACUGAUACAGGGCUCUUUCGGGUCUUGUAAUUGGAAUGAGUACAAUUUAAAUCCCUUAACGAGGAACAAUUGGAGGGCAAGUCUGGUGCCAGCAGCCGCGGUAAUUCCAGCUCCAAUAGCGUAUAUUAAAGUUGUUGAGGUUAAAAAGCUCGUAGUUGAAUCUUGGGCCUAGCCGGCCGGUCCGCCUCACCGCGUGCACUGGCUCGGCUGGGUCUUUCCUUCUGGAGAACCGCAUGCCCUUCACUGGGUGUGCC
RNAcentral lists this ribosomal RNA (518 nucleotides) under uncultured fungus. Its description in RNAcentral is "SSU rRNA". It matches the Rfam family "Eukaryotic small subunit ribosomal RNA", at positions 214 to 732 of the family's 1831-position model. Lineage: Eukaryota; Fungi. The record is from RNAcentral.